CUAAGGGGGUGAGGGAGAUGGGUCUUCAAAAGGUUGGGGUGAGUCGGUCCAACGGCUUGGGGCUGAAGGGGGGAGAGAGAAGGUCUUCGAGUUAGAUGUACCGAGGAGAUGUUGCUGAAAUUUUCUAGGGUUCGGGAGAUUUUGGGGUUAGGGCGUCGGGGUGAGAAAGAAGGCGUGAGAGAGAAGAGUAUGAGGUUCGAGAGGGAGAGUUCAGAGGGUCGACGAGGGAGAUGCGGCUCGAAGAGGGAGAUGCGUUGGCGUCGAGUCAAGUGAGAUGUAUGUCUGAGGGAGAAGAGGGAGAGUGAAGUAGCUCGGGAUUGUGUAGAGCA
Juglans microcarpa x Juglans regia is the source of this 329-nucleotide long non-coding RNA. RefSeq lists it as uncharacterized. Lineage: Eukaryota; Viridiplantae; Streptophyta; Magnoliopsida; Fagales; Juglandaceae. The transcript is spliced from 3 exons. The record is from RefSeq and is a predicted model, not a curated record.